ACAUACAUAGCUCAAUUGGUAGAGCAUUUACCUUCUAAGUAAAGAGUGUAGGUUCGAUUCCUACUGGAUGCA
This 72-nucleotide transfer RNA is filed under the name Oscarella balibaloi. Its description in RNAcentral is "tRNA-Arg". It matches the Rfam family "tRNA". Rfam says of the family: Transfer RNA (tRNA) molecules are approximately 80 nucleotides in length. The record is from RNAcentral. Lineage: Eukaryota; Metazoa; Porifera; Homoscleromorpha; Homosclerophorida; Oscarellidae.